GUGGGGAAUAUUGGGCAAUGGGGGAAACCCUGACCCAGCAACGCCGCGUGAGGGAAGAAGGUUUUCGGAUUGUAAACCUCUGUCCUUGGUGACGAAGGAAGUGACGGUAACCAAGGAGGAAGCCCCGGCUAACUACGUGCCAGCAGCCGCGGUAAUACGUAGGGGGCAAGCGUUGUCCGGAAUGACUGGGCGUAAAGGGCGUGUAGGCGGCCGAUUAAGUCUGGAGUGAAAGUCCUGCUUUCAAGGUGGGAAUUGCUUUGGGGAAUGGUUGGCUUGAGUGCGGAAGAGGUAAGUGGAAUUCCCAGUGUAGCGGUGAAAUGCGUAAAGAUUGGGAGGAACACCAGUGGCGAAGGCGGCUUUCUGGACGGUGUCUGACACUGAGGCGCGAAAGCCAGGGGAGCGAACGGGAUUAGAAACCCGUGUAGUCC
RNAcentral lists this ribosomal RNA (428 nucleotides) under uncultured bacterium. Its description in RNAcentral is "partial 16S ribosomal RNA". It matches the Rfam family "Bacterial small subunit ribosomal RNA", at positions 354 to 796 of the family's 1533-position model. The record is from RNAcentral.